RNAcentral lists this ribosomal RNA (429 nucleotides) under Pseudomonadota bacterium. RNAcentral describes it as "Proteobacteria bacterium partial 16S ribosomal RNA". It matches the Rfam family "Bacterial small subunit ribosomal RNA", at positions 355 to 776 of the family's 1533-position model. Lineage: Bacteria; Pseudomonadati; Pseudomonadota. The record is from RNAcentral.
UGGGGAAUAUUGGACAAUGGGCGAAAGCCUGAUCCAGCCAUGCCGCGUGUGUGAAGAAGGUCUUCGGAUUGUAAAGCACUUUAAGUUGGGAGGAAGGGCAGUAAGCGAAUACCUUGCUGUUUUGACGUUACCGACAGAAUAAGCACCGGCUAACUCUGUGCCAGCAGCCGCGGUAAUUCAGAGGGUGCAAGCGUUAAUCGGAAUUACUGGGCGUAAAGCGCGCGUAGGUGGUUCGUUAAGUUGAAUGUGAAAGCCCCGGGCUCAACCUGGGAACUGCAUCCAAAACUGGCGAGCUAGAGUAGGGCAGAGGGUGGUGGAAUUUCCUGUGUAGCGGUGAAAUGCGUAGAUAUAGGAAGGAACACCAGUGGCGAAGGCGACCACCUGGGCUCAUACUGACACUGAGGUGCGAAAGCGUGGGGAGCAAACAGG